AAAGCCCAUUGGGUAUGAUAUUCAAUCAAUAGGGAUGAAGUUCUCUAUUCCUUGCCUUCAUCCAACCAUGCCUUAUUUUCAUCCCUUCCAAUUAGCCUCCUACUAGUUAAAAUCCUAUUAAACUUCAUUCAAACUUUAGGCCAAAACUAAUUAAAUCUUAGAUUUUAAUAAAAUCCUAAAUCCUAAAUCAAAUCCUAAACAAAUCUUAAAUCAAACCACAAUCAAAUCCUAAACCAAAUCCUAACCAAAUCCUAAACCCUAAAUCAAACCCUAAUCGAAUCCUAAUCCAAAUCCUAAAUCCUAAACCAAACCCUAAUCCAAACCUUAAAUCCUAAACCAAACCCUAACUAAAUCCUAAAUCCUAAAUCAAAUCCUAAUCAAAUCCUAAAUCCUGAAUAAAAUUUUAACCAAAUCCUAAACCAAAUCUUAAUCCAAACCCUAAAUCCUAAAUCAAACCCUAAACCCUAAACCCUAAAUCAAACCCUAAUCCAAACCCUAAAUCCUAAACCAAACCUAACCAAAUCCUAAACCAAACCCUAGUAAUUCCUACAAUAGAUUUAAACCUCAAUAACUAAUGAAUAAACCGUUGAUCUUUAUUCAAAUUUUGCAUACUUCUAAAAAAAUAAGUUAAAAAUAAGCACAAAAAAAUUGACAAGGAUCGGAGUUACUAAAUUGAUGAUAACUUC
This 686-nucleotide long non-coding RNA is filed under the name Physcomitrium patens. Its description in RNAcentral is "long non-coding RNA (PPAT_LNC001395)". Lineage: Eukaryota; Viridiplantae; Streptophyta; Bryopsida; Funariales; Funariaceae. The record is from RNAcentral.